This 460-nucleotide ribosomal RNA is filed under the name uncultured bacterium. RNAcentral describes it as "partial 16S ribosomal RNA". It matches the Rfam family "Bacterial small subunit ribosomal RNA", at positions 338 to 795 of the family's 1533-position model. The record is from RNAcentral.
CCUACGGGUGGCAGCAGUGAGGAAUAUUGGUCAAUGGACGAAAGUCUGAACCAGCCAAGUCGCGUGAAGGAUGACUGCCCUAUGGGUUGUAAACUUCUUUUAUCAGGGAGUAAAACGAGGCACGUGUGCCUUUUUGCAUGUACUUUAUGAAUAAGGAUCGGCUAACGCCGUUCCAGCAGCCGCGGUAAUACGGUGGAUCCGAGGGGUGUUCGGAUUUAUUGGGUUUAAAGGGAUCGUGGCUGGGUUGUUAAGUCAGUUGGGAAAGGUUGGGGGUCAAACGUAGAACUGGAAUUGAUACUGGCAGUCUUGAGUAUAGGUGAGGGAGGCGGAAGUCGUGGUGUAGCGGUGAAAUGCUUAGAUAUCACGAAGAACCCCGAUUGCGAAGGCAGCUGACUAAACUGUGACUGACAUUGAUGCUCGAAAGUGUGGGGAUCAAACAGGAUUAGAUACCCCUGUAGUC